Molecule: non-coding RNA, 211 nt
Organism: Pelobates cultripes (western spadefoot toad)
Lineage: Eukaryota; Metazoa; Chordata; Amphibia; Anura; Pelobatidae
Source: the annotation of a GenBank genome assembly
GUCACAAUAGCUUGGAUUUAAAAACAAAAAACUUUUUUUACUGUUAUAGAUUGAAUAGCAGUCAGUGUCCUUAAAGCGGGUGUGUUACGCUAACAGUGGAUACGCUGACAAGUGCCACUAAUUAGAUCUGGUGUCACAAUAGCUUAGAUUUAAAAACAAAAAACUUUUUUCACUGUUAUAGAUUGAAUAGCAGUCAGUGUCCUUAAAGCGG